Molecule: unclassified non-coding RNA, 329 nt
Filed under: soil metagenome
Description: partial contains 5.8S ribosomal RNA, internal transcribed spacer 2, and large subunit ribosomal RNA
Rfam family: 5.8S ribosomal RNA (bases 1-120)
Source: RNAcentral
GAUGAAGAACGCAGCGAAAUGCGAUAAGUAAUGUGAAUUGCAGAAUUCAGUGAAUCAUCGAAUCUUUGAACGCACAUUGCGCCCCCUGGUAUUCCGGGGGGCAUGCCUGUUCGAGCGUCAUUACAACCCUCAAGCUCUGCUUGGUAUUGGGCCCCGCCAGUUCUGGCGGGCCCUAAAGUCAGUGGCGGUGCCUUCCGGCUCCGAGCGUAGUAAUUCUUCUCGCUCUGGAGACCCGGUUGUGUGCUUGCCAACAACCCCCAAUUUUUUAAGGUUGAUCUCGGAUCAGGUAGGGAUACCCGCUGAACUUAAGCAUAUCAAUAAGCGGAGGA